UACAGGGUGGAGUUUACUUUAUUUUCUGGAAACUUUAAGAGACCCAUUGCACACAUGGAUACAAUAAUUCAAAAGAGGAAGUCUCUAGAUGAAACAGUGUGUUGAAUGCUGCAGCAAUGAUCACUGCCCAUUUUGUUCUACAAAUUAUUUCCAACCAACAAGUUUACAAAAGGUUCAAAUUCUUUAUCAAAAACUCUGCAACUUUAAAACUAAUACAUUGGAACUGUUACAAAACAUUUCUAAGAGCACAAUAUUUAUUUCACCAAAGUAGAUGAAUUUGACAGAGGAUUGGUAUAGAAUUGAAAAAAGCAGAGAUACUCCCCAAGUAGAAAUUCUUUUUUUCAUUUGAAAAAAAUGUUCUAUUUAUUUCCUUUCCUUUAUACAGCUGUGAUUUCUUGUACAGAAGACAGCUAUUAGGUGGUUACAAGAUUGUUUUGUCAGCCUAAUGUGACGCCUAAUAAAUGCACGUUCUUCUCAUUAAAAUGUAACUCUUAAUAAAAGUUAUUCUUCCCACCGCAGCAGAUCCUGUUUAAUUUUCCAGAUGUUCUGGUUAUUAUUUCAUUUUCUGGCAUUUAUUAUAUUCCAUUUUUAUUUCAUUGUGAAAUACAUGUGUUUCUUAUUGAGAAUGUGUUAAAUUAGUCCACCACUAUGGAGUCCACGAGUGGACUCCAUUCCUGUCCCAGUCUGGGUGGGCGCCGUGGCGAUGUUCCUUUGACCGAGCUGGCUCCUGGUAUGAUAGAAUCCUCAAUACCAUCUCCUCACAGCAGAGCCAAGCCUUAAGUUUAUUUUACAAGUUGUUUUUAUUUAUUUAUUUAUUUUUUUUUUAAGUAUUCAUUGUGUGUGGGGUCAUGGGUGUAUGUGUUGGGGGGGGGGGGCUUUUUGUGUGUGAAGGGUGGGUUGGGCUUUUACCGUGUAUGUUUUGUUUUUAAAUGCUAAGCGCUUUGUGUUGCUCCGAGUAUGAAAGGCGCUUUUAUAGAUAAAGUUUUAUUUGAUUUGAUUGAUUAGUGCAACAGAAUAUGACAAAAUGUAAAGACGAAUUUAUACUUUGAAUCCCAAUAUUCUGAACUUCUUCUUCUAGGUGGUAGGAAAAUACCGGACUUAACUCUCUAUCACCAGUUAAAUUAAACAAAAAGAAAUCAGUUUGGAUUAUCUAACCAAAUGUUUCAAUAAUCUAUAUGUACUGAAUUAUAUUUCCACUGAAAAACCCUGGUGCCUAAAGAGUUACAAAUAAAUGUAUAAUUUACGAAAAACAUUAGAAAGAGAAAGAAUGGAAGAGGGGGUGAAAGGGGAAGGAAAAAGAAAACAGAAAAAGAAAACAAAAAUGAACCUGCUGCCCCGCAAGGUCCUUCAGUAUUGGAUCAAGCCUGGAGGUUGUGGGGACAGUGUGGUGCUAGUGGCCUGUGACACUUGGACGUGGGGGGAGUGCUAGUCGACUGCGCUGAGUCCGCCUUCGACCGCGCUUAAGUCAACCUUUCGCACGUAUGUCUGUGAUCUCACUGUAUGUAUGUGACGUCAGCAAUGUCCAGCCAGGCUUGAUCCAACAGUGCGAUUGUCGCUGACUGCUAUUUAUACCCCACCAAUCAUCACACCUGUAAAGUCAUGGUUUUAACUCCGGUGUUUUUUUUUUUGGCAAAUUCGAAUUGUACGCUAUAUGGUUGUUACCUGUAAAUAAAAUAUGAAGAAAAAUACAUAUAAUUUUAAAUGUUUUUUCCUUUACAAAGAUACAUGUUUAGCCGCAGUGCAUGCUGGGAAACGUGACGUGUGACGCCUAGGCUGACCAAGAUGGCGGCUUAAGCGGACUUUAGUUUAGACUUUAGACUUUCAGACUUUAGUUUUCAACCUGUUGCGCCAAAACUUUUUAAAUGUUUUUAAAACGCUACUUUUGAAAUUCUUACUGUUGUAGACCAAAAAGGAAACAAAAUCAACUGUUCCAUGCUAUCGCUAAGGAGAGCAAAGCCAUGGCUAGCAGCAGCAGUGCUGUUAGCGGUGCGGGACAUGACUACACCCAGAAGGCUAAUGCUGAACAAGACACGGUCAUCCCGGAUGAAGAAGAGUCUCCACUCCUGUCUAUUUCUACUGAGGGGACUCCAUGUAAAGAAAAGCUUCAAAAAAAGCGCAACUUGCAACACCUCGAGGUGAGAGGAGAAGCAGCGGUUGUGAUAAUGACAUCGUUGAUGUUCUUUCAAACCUGAUUAACACCGGCUUUGAUGCCACGGAGAAACUGAUUCAUGACAACUCGCUAAAAAUUGAGGGCAUCGCUUGGGAAGACUGAUAGAAAACGAGAACAAACCGAGAGGAAUCAUUCUCCAGUUUUCGUCCAGAACCUACCGAGACGCCGUGUGGAAAGCCGCGAAAAAGAAUCCCAUCCUACAGGAGCGCCAUCUACGGCGGAGCGGGAAAGCAGAGCAUCGCCGAGGCUUUGGUCCAAGCAGCUAGAAGAGAGGGGAAAGUCGCCUACUACGCGGGUGGGCGUGGCUACAUCAAUGAAAUAUUGGACGAGCUGUUCUACUGGUAAUCUAGACAUGUACGACGGGUUCAGCAGAAUACAGAACCGGCCUCCAACACAGAGCCUGUGGUGAGUUUAGAGCCGCUGGCUAGCAUGCUAAGCUUUACAUUACUUGCUAGGCUAGUACAGAUGGAAGUAAAAGGCUCAGAAAUGAUUAUUAGUAAUGUAAUCGGCGGCCUUAUAAGUAUACGUUUUAUAUUUAUUUCUCGUAAGGCUUCUUAGUGCACCGCUGAUCUUUUCAAUCCUGUUGGUACAGUCCAUAAACCCUGAAUGGUACAGUCCAUUCUGCUACCGCUGCAGAAGCCGCCACCCACUCCCCUUGCCCUCAAACCUUUUGUUUUCUUUAUUUUUAUUUCUUUGUUUGACACCGGAGGUGGACUGGCGAGUCCACAGACGUGCCACGUUGGUCCACAGCUUCAGUCUGCUUCAUGAAUCACAAUCACUGAAAACACAUUAAAGAGUGCUGUUUUAUCCAUUCAACAGCAGAGGGCGCUAAUCAAGUGAUGCCAGGCGUUUUGAAGCUGAAAUAAAAAUACAAAACGUUUUUUUUUCUAUUUUGAUUUUCUCGUUUUGAAUUUUACCAUGGUUCUACUAUUUACCAAUUAAAAAAAUAAUGAUCAACUAUUGCUCUUUUGUAUUUACCUUUUUCAAAGACAAGAAAAAUAUAAGCAGCACAUCUGACUGACUACAUUUUUCCUUUUUAUAUUCAAAUCUGUACUGUAUACAAUCAGGCAACAUUUCCUGAAACAGGAAAAUAAAAUGAGUAGAAACUAAAUUCUGCUGCUUCUAUCACUAUCCUAAAUGUAAUUUCAGCAUUUUGUUUCCAUUAAGACUUUCACUGUCAAAACACUUUAGACCCCAAUUCACACAUGUGAAACUGAUUUAUAAUGAACUCCAGCAUGAACAAACUAAAUGCUUUUAUUUUUCUCUUUUUUGCAGGUCUCUGGGAAUACUAUCCGCCAGAAUUCCAGCAUGAUGCUGAUUCUUCAGUGACUGUUUAAAGCACAUUAUAUUAAGGGGAAAAUGGGAAUUACAUGUACUUGUGCUAAAUUCUUAUUGAAUACGCUUUUUGAAAAAUAUGAUCAAGUCUUGGACAUUUAGAAUGUUACUUUCAUUUUACUAAAUUAAAAAGUCUUGCUCUAACACAUUUUCCUGCUCCUUUCUAAGUAAUUUUCUCUGUUCCAGGAUGAACUCGAAGAGAGACAUCAGAUAUCCAAAGAACACCCAGAAAAUGAUCUUUCACUGAGAAUUCCCUUCACAGAAGCAGCAUCAUCAUUUCUUGACAAUGGACAAACACCGUUUCAGAGAACACAUCAGUUUAUUUUCAAUAAACUUGUAAACAUCAACCAUUUUGUAAGUAUUGAAUGGUGAGAAUCCACUUGGAGAGCCUGAAAGACAUAAGUUUAAAAGUUAACCGAAGGAUCCAGGUUAUAGCACCUUUUACAAAUCCAAAAUUUGGAGCAUCAUGAUAGAAAGAAUCAAAGAGCCAGGACGGUGGAGCAUUUAGAUACAGACGGGACAUUUCCCUUUUCUCUCCUUAAGUGAACAAACAAGAGUACCUAGCUAAAGGUAAUGUGGCGGAUGUAAUGGUGAAUAAACUCGAUGGAGCUGAUGGACAUCCAACAGAAGUUGUAUUUUAUCUGAAGGGUGGGAGUUGGUGAUCUGAAAUGGAAGUUGUACUUUUGGACAACAGCAAGCUACAAGCUCCACGUUUCACUUGAUUUCGAUGCAUUCACGCCAACUAAAUCUAUGUACGUCUUUGUUUUCCUUGUCUAAGCAUCUGGCUCAAAACUGUUCUACUGGAAAGCUCAGUGUUGCUCGCCAUUUUUAUUACACUGGUAAUGUUAGUGUGGUCAAUAAGAACACUGCUGCAUGGAGCAGCUUUUCUCCGCGGCACUGUCCGCUGAUAAACCUCAUCUAUGAGGCUCGUUCUCCUUCAGAAUUGCUGGAUUUACGUUAAUAAACGUAAACAUAUUUGUUAUUGAAAACAAUAACAAAUAUGACCACAGAUUAUUUGUAGUUCUGAAGGCGGCAUGCAGCCAGCGCAGUGCCUAUUUUCUGGCCCUGCCAAACAUUACAUUUUGUGGGAGGCUUUUGUUUGUUUCGUUAAACUUGGGGUCCUCUGUCAGUGUGUAGUCAACGAAAUUUAACAACAGGCCUGCAGAGAAACCAUCAUUUGAAUUUUCCACACUGCCACCAAGUGGACGUUCAUUUACUGCAAGGAACUGAACAACUUCUCCAAUUGUUUUUAUAUUAUAUUAAUUUUUUAUCAAUUUGAGUGGACCCUCUUAGAUUACUAAUGGUUUCCCCUGUGACCUCUUUCUGGGAGAUUUAGAUCAGGAUUUUGUAUUUUUUUAUGUGGCAUUGACAUUGACAAUCUUUUGUUUCUUUGUAAAUCUUUUGUCUUUUUACAGUGCCAUUUUCCAAUUAUUGAAUCUUUGUUUAUUGAAAACCAAAUCCCUGUCAUUGUUUCCCCCAAAUUUACGACACGGGAAACAAAAGCAUGCAUCAAGCUUUGCUGAAUAUUCCAGCCAUGGUCUCCCACCAUACCAGCCUGGGUAGAAUGAGCGAGCGUUCUUACCAAAAUUACGUCUGGGCAAAACCAGAGCUGUGGGCUGUGAAGAUGUUAAAGUGUUCAAGUCUGAAUUUACAUCAUCUGUCAUCUGAGGAUGAGAAUUUGUUAAAAUAACGAAUGAUCAAAUAAUUUCAGCGAUUAAAAAGCCGACGAAAACUCUGAACAGUGACUAAGCUCAAUUGGAAAUUGCGUCUGAGCUUUACUGAGCCUGUGAGAUCUACUGUGAGAUCUGGAAUGAAGCGUGAGGCCACGCCCUCUCAUCCAUCUACCAAUCAGCACUAGCUGCUGCUAUGAAUGAGAGCCAGACAGAAGGAAGGAAAAAAUUGUGGACAAGUAUUACGGGGAGAAGUGCAGCCUCAGAGGGGGGUUGGACAGCUUUACCACGAGGCAACGAGGCCUCACGGGGGUGUCAGACAGGUGGACAGCUUUGCCUGAUCACAUGAUGGAGGGGUAGCAAAGGUAGCACUCAAACACGUCCACCACGUAUUUUUUUUAUUUGCGCUGGCACAGUAAGUGUAGGUAUAGGACAAACCCACGAGUAGGAAGGACUUAAAGAACUUCAGCCUUUUUUGAUUGUAAAAAAAAUUGAUGUGAAAAACAUUGCAUUUAACUAGUUGAUCUAAGAACACAUCUAUUUGCUGAGUCUUGAAAUAAAAAAAACCUGAAAUAUUUAAAACAGAAGAUAAUAUUUUGGGGCAUAACAGUUUGCAGUUAACUGCAAGGGUUGACAACAAAUUCAGAAAGAAAAUUCAAAGGUUUUAAAAAUUCGCAAUCAUACCAGGGUAGGUCCAAUAACAUCAAACCCAGACCUCACUUUGAAGGGGCCAGAGACCAUUUACAGCUGGCUGCAGAUUGCUGGAAGAGAUCACAUGACCAAGAGGUAUUCCCCCUCCUUUACAGGAAGAGCAAUUGGUCUUGGUCAAGGCCCAUGGUCCACUGAGGGCGGUCAAAAGAUCCAGGACCUGUGGGGCACAAGGUCCUGAGAGCACCAAGGCCUGGAACAGGUCUGUUAGUUGUCAUUCCUAAGCUGAGCUUUUAUCCAGUUAAUAAAGGAGUCGCCAUGCCAGGGGCUUCCACCCAUCUUCUUCCGCUCAUCUGACACCGGGUCAUGGGGGCAGCAUUCUAAGUAAGGAUGCCAGGGUUUGGGGUGCUGAAGACCUCGCCUUCAACUGCCAUCCUCAUCGCAUCAGCCCCUUCUGAGUUCUCCUGCAGGUGGUGGGACCCCUGGAUAGCGAUCCCAACUCACUUCUUCAGGCUUGAACUGACCAGGGCCUGUGGGAGGAGCCCGGUCACCAGGCUCUCAACUGCAAGUCCCAACCCCAGGCCUGGCUCCAGGGUGGGGCCCUGGUGACAUCAAUCCGGGCAACUUUAAUAAAUAAAUAAAAAA
Long non-coding RNA from Oryzias melastigma (Indian medaka), 6468 nucleotides. RefSeq lists it as uncharacterized. The transcript has 3 exons. The record is from RefSeq and is a predicted model, not a curated record. NCBI's taxonomy places the organism in Eukaryota, Metazoa, Chordata, Actinopteri, Beloniformes, Adrianichthyidae.